GCAGACACAUUCCAGCCAAUCAGCAGCAGACCCUCCCUCCCAGACCCUCCCACCUCGUGGACAGCAUCCAUUGUGACGCUGCAUUCUUAGUGAGCUGUCCAGGAGGUGGGAGGGUCUGGGAGGGAGGGUCUGCUGCUGAUUGGCUGGAAUGUGUGUG
Molecule: non-coding RNA, 157 nt
Organism: Pelobates cultripes (western spadefoot toad)
Lineage: Eukaryota; Metazoa; Chordata; Amphibia; Anura; Pelobatidae
Source: the annotation of a GenBank genome assembly